GCUGGGUAGCUAAAUGCGGAAGAGAUAAGUGCUGAAAGCAUCUAAGCACGAAACUUGCCAAGAGAUGAGUCAUCCCUGACUUUAAGUCAGUAAGGGUUGUUGUAGACUACGACGUAGAUAGGUUGGGUGUGUAAGUGUAGUGAUACAUUGAGCUAACCAAUACUAAUUGCCCGAGAGGCUUAACCAUA
RNAcentral lists this ribosomal RNA (188 nucleotides) under Pasteurella multocida 1500C. RNAcentral's name for it is "partial 23S ribosomal RNA". It matches the Rfam family "Bacterial large subunit ribosomal RNA", at positions 2740 to 2925 of the family's 2925-position model. Lineage: Bacteria; Pseudomonadati; Pseudomonadota; Gammaproteobacteria; Pasteurellales; Pasteurellaceae. The record is from RNAcentral.